AUUGAACGCUGGCGGCAGGCCUAACACAUGCAAGUCGAGCGGAUGAAGGGAGCUUGCUCCUGGAUUCAGCGGCGGACGGGUGAGUAAUGCCUAGGAAUCUGCCUGGUAGUGGGUGAUAACGUCCGGAAACGGGCGCUAAUACCGCAUACGUCCUGAGGGAGAAAGUGGGGGAUCUUCGGACCUCACGCUAUCAGAUGAGCCUAGGUCGGAUUAGCUAGUUGGUGGGGUAAAGGCCUACCAAGGCGACGAUCCGUAACUGGUCUGAGAGGAUGAUCAGUCACACUGGAACGGAGACACGGUCCAGACUCCUACGGGAGGCAGCAGUGGGGAAUAUUGGACAAUGGGCGAAAGCCUGAUCCAGCCAUGCCGCGUGUGUGAAGAAGGUCUUCGGAUUGUAAAGCACUUUAAGUUGGGAGGAAGCGCAGUAAGUUAAUACCUUGCUGUUUUGACGUUACCAACAGAAUAAGCACCGGCUAACUUCGUG
RNAcentral lists this ribosomal RNA (484 nucleotides) under uncultured bacterium. RNAcentral describes it as "partial 16S ribosomal RNA". It matches the Rfam family "Bacterial small subunit ribosomal RNA", at positions 30 to 507 of the family's 1533-position model. The record is from RNAcentral.